GUGCUUAACACAUGCAAGUCGAACGAUGAACCACUUCGGUGGGGAUUAGUGGCGAACGGGUGAGUAACACGUGGGCAAUCUGCCCUGCACUCUGGGACAAGCCCUGGAAACGGGGUCUAAUACCGGAUACUGAUCCUCGCAGGCAUCUGCGAGGUUCGAAAGCUCCGGCGGUGCAGGAUGAGCCCGCGGCCUAUCAGCUAGUUGGUGAGGUAACGGCUCACCAAGGCGACGACGGGUAGCCGGCCUGAGAGGGCGACCGGCCACACUGGGACUGAGACACGGCCCAGACUCCUACGGGAGGCAGCAGUGGGGAAUAUUGCACAAUGGGUUAAAGCUGAUGCAGCGACGCCGCGUGAGGGAUGACGGCCUUCGGGUUGUAAACCUCUUUCAGCAGGGAAGAAGCGAAAGUGACGGUACCUGCAGAAGAAGCGCCGGCUAACUACGUGCCAGCAGCCGCGGUA
RNAcentral lists this ribosomal RNA (461 nucleotides) under Streptomyces noursei. RNAcentral's name for it is "bacterial SSU rRNA". It matches the Rfam family "Bacterial small subunit ribosomal RNA", at positions 44 to 522 of the family's 1533-position model. Lineage: Bacteria; Bacillati; Actinomycetota; Actinomycetes; Kitasatosporales; Streptomycetaceae. The record is from RNAcentral.